This 560-nucleotide non-coding RNA is filed under the name Pongo abelii (Sumatran orangutan). Lineage: Eukaryota; Metazoa; Chordata; Mammalia; Primates; Hominidae. The record is from RNAcentral.
GACAAUAUUGUUCUGGAAUUUUUAGCUGGCACUCAGAUUUCUGUCUGCCUCUCAUUGGCAAACAUGACAUUUCAGCAAUUUCUCUAAAGAGGAAUGAUUGGGGGGGUCUGUAUAGCAGGCAUCAUGUAAGAAAACUCACACCUCAUGACAUAUUUGUUUGAUUUAUUCAGCAGACUUCAGCAAAGGAAAGAUGUGAAAGCAACCCUUGGUUGUUGAUUUUUUGUUCAUUCUGAAAAUCACAUCGCCAGAUCCAACACCUUGUUAUCCCAAUCACCAGUACAAGCCACCUGUAUCAGUGUACACUGUGGCUGACUGAUCCAUAGUGAUGCUUUGAGCACAAGGAAGGACUUUCUGGAAUCUACUUAUCUGACCAAGAAAGCUUCUUUCCAAAAGAAAUGCAAUUGUCUUGAGACUUCUUCCCUAGGGAUCUGAUCAACUAACUGGAAAAAAGCAACCACCGGAGAAGAGACUGUGGGUGUCAUUGUGACUGGCUGCUACCUCCCCAUGAGUCUUCUAAAAUAAAACCUGCAAAUUCACAUCUUCCCCAUGCUUCCAGAGAA